This 424-nucleotide long non-coding RNA is filed under the name Ananas comosus (pineapple). RNAcentral's name for it is "long non-coding RNA (ACOM_LNC036598)". Lineage: Eukaryota; Viridiplantae; Streptophyta; Magnoliopsida; Poales; Bromeliaceae. The record is from RNAcentral.
UUUUAAAAAAUUGGUAAUAAUUUUUUUAAUAAAGUUCAAAAAGUUUGAUAGAGAUAUAUAAUAAGCAAUUAUAAAAUUUUAUCAUUAAAAAGUUAAAUAUUUUAUACUAUUAUGUAUUGGUACACAUAUAGGGCAUGUUUGGUUUGAAAUCGGAGUCGGAAUCGGAAUCAAAAUAAGCUGGAAUCGGAAUCGAAAUGGCUCAUUACCUAAUUCUGUUUGGUUCAUCACCUGAAUCGGAAUCGGAAUAAAUCAUUCUCAUUGUCGGUAUUUGGUUCAGAUGGAUAUAAAAACGUAAUCAAAUGAAUAUACUAACAUUAUCUUUAUAAUAUAUUAAUUUAAAUUUAAAUUAAAUAUUAAAUAUUAAAAAUUUACGUCAAAAUUUUAAAAUAAUGUCAAAAUUUUAAAUCUAUUUUUUUUAAAAAAU